CCUACGGGAGGCAGCAGUGAGGAAUAUUGGUCAAUGGCCGCGAGCCUGAACCAGCCAAGUAGCGUGAAGGAUGACUGACCUACGGUUUGUAAACUUCUUUUAUAGAGGAAUAAAGUUAUGCACGUGUGCAUUUUUGUAUGUACUUUAUGAAUAAGCAUCGGCUAACUCCGUGCCAGCAGCCGCGGUAAUACGGAGGAUCCGAGCGUUAUCCGGAUUUAUUGGGUUUAAAGGGAGCGUAGAUGGGUUGUUAAGUCAGUUGUGAAAGUUUGCGGCUCAACCGUAAAAUUGCCAUUGAUACUGGCAGUCUUGAGUAUAUUUGAGGUAGGCGGAAUGCGUGGUGUAGCGGUGAAAUGCAUAGAUAUCACGAAGAACUCCGAUUGCGAAGGCAGCUUACUAAACCGUCACUGACACUGAUGCACGAAAGUGUGGGGAUCAAACAGGAUUAGAUACCCUGGUAGUC
RNAcentral lists this ribosomal RNA (460 nucleotides) under uncultured bacterium. Its description in RNAcentral is "partial 16S ribosomal RNA". It matches the Rfam family "Bacterial small subunit ribosomal RNA", at positions 338 to 795 of the family's 1533-position model. The record is from RNAcentral.